AUAGUACCGGUGAGGAAAGUUGCAAAGUACUUUGAAGAGAGAGUUCAAGAGGACGUGAAACCGGUAGGGUGGAAGCAGAUAAAGUUGACGAACGUGUGUCGUAUUCAGAACUACAAUUUGUGGUUUGUUUUUACGAUCGAUGUGGGCUGGCGUCUUUGGUUAACUUAGUGUCUGGCGGCAAUGGUGACCCUGCGGAGGGAUAAUCGGUUGUCGUGCGAUGCUUGGUAUGGCUAGAGGUUCGCUGGUCUUAUAGUCAUCGCUUUAUCUGACCCGUCUUGAAACACGGACCAAGGAGUGUAGCGCUUACGCGAGUCUUAGAGUGUGUCAAAACUUUGAGGCGUAACGAAAGUAAAUGUGGAUUUAUUCACUGACUUGGGAUGCGUUGUCUUUUUGGAUAGCGUUGGACCAUGGUUUUAUCGUAAUCGCUUGCGAUGCGGUGAAAAUAGAGCGUAAGCGGUGCGACCCGAAAGAUGGUGAACUAUGCCUGAGCAGGAUGAAGCCGGAGGAAACUCUGGUGGAAGUCCGAAGCGGUUCUGACGUGCAAAUCGAUCGUCUGACUGGGUAUAGGCGAAAGACAUNANCNNC
Molecule: ribosomal RNA, 585 nt
Filed under: Steinernema sp. QTr
Lineage: Eukaryota; Metazoa; Nematoda; Chromadorea; Rhabditida; Steinernematidae
Description: eukaryotic LSU rRNA
Rfam family: Eukaryotic large subunit ribosomal RNA
Source: RNAcentral